CAAAAUCUUCACCAACUACAAUUGUUGUU
This 29-nucleotide small RNA is filed under the name Bombyx mori (domestic silkworm). RNAcentral describes it as "ovarian small RNA-12731". Lineage: Eukaryota; Metazoa; Arthropoda; Insecta; Lepidoptera; Bombycidae. The record is from RNAcentral.